This 489-nucleotide ribosomal RNA is filed under the name uncultured bacterium. RNAcentral describes it as "bacterial SSU rRNA". It matches the Rfam family "Bacterial small subunit ribosomal RNA", at positions 52 to 524 of the family's 1533-position model. The record is from RNAcentral.
AUCAUGCAAGUAGAACGCUGAAGGAGGAGCUUGCUCUUUCCGGAUGAGUUGCGAACGGGUGAGUAACGCGUAGGUAACCUGCCUGGUAGCGGGGGAUAACUAUUGGAAACGAUAGCUAAUACCGCAUAAUAGUAGAUGUUGCAUGACAUAUGCUUAAAAGGUGCAAUUGCAUCACUACCAGAUGGACCUGCGUUGUAUUAGCUAGUUGGUGAGGUAACGGCUCACCAAGGCAACGGUACAUAGCCGACCUGAGAGGGUGAUCGGCCACACUGGGACUGAGACACGGCCCAGACUCCUACGGGAGGCAGCAGUAGGGAAUCUUCGGCAAUGGACGGAAGUCUGACCGAGCAACGCCGCGUGAGUGAAGAAGGUUUUCGGAUCGUAAAGCUCUGUUGUAAGAGAAGAACGAGUGUGAGAGUGGAAAGUUCACACUGUGACGGUAUCUUACCAGAAAGGGACGGCUAACUACGUGCCAGCAGCCGCGGUAAU